This 454-nucleotide ribosomal RNA is filed under the name uncultured bacterium. Its description in RNAcentral is "bacterial SSU rRNA". It matches the Rfam family "Bacterial small subunit ribosomal RNA", at positions 29 to 526 of the family's 1533-position model. The record is from RNAcentral.
AGCGAACGCUGGCGGCAGGCUUAACACAUGCAAGUCGAACGCUCGUCUUCGGACGGGAGUGGCAGACGGGUGAGUAACACGUGGGAACGUACCCUUUGGUUCGGAAUAACGCAGGGAAACUUGCGCUAAUACCGGAUACGCCCUUUUGGGGAAAGGUUUACUGCCGAAGGAUCGGCCCGCGUCUGAUUAGCUAGUUGGUGGGGUAACGGCCUACCAAGGCGACGAUCAGUAGCUGGUCUGAGAGGAUGAUCAGCCACACUGGGACUGAGACACGGCCCAGACUCCUACGGGAGGCAGCAGUGGGGAAUAUUGGACAAUGGGCGCAAGCCUGAUCCAGCCAUGCCGCGUGAGUGAUGAAGGCCUUAGGGUUGUAAAAUUCUUUUAGUGGAGAAGAUAAUGACGGUAUCCACAGAAAAAGUCCCGGCUAACUUCGUGCCAGCCGCCGCAGUAAAAC